ACACAAUAAAGAGGCAUAAGGAUCUUAAGGUAAGAAUUGAUUGAUUCCCAGGAUAACUGCUAGGCCGCAGGCUUAGAGGGCAGUCAACAGUAAUAGAGCAGAAGGAUGCAAGGUGCCAGAAGAAACACUUCUCAGCAUGUGUUACCAUUUUGAAAAAUGGUAUAGAGUUUUAAUACAAAUGUAUGGCUUAAAUCGUGAGAGGUCUAUUGAGAGCUAAAAAAAUUAUAAAAGGAGGUAAUAUAUUGGCUUGAUAAAAGGAUCUGGACAAAAAAAUAAAUGUAAUCAUACUUUGCUCAGCUAUCAAGAAUAUUAACAGAAUCAUAAUAAUGGAAACAACAACCAUUAACAAGACAUAUAUAUUAUUAUAUUCAGAGGAAGGGAGAAGGCAACGAAUGUUUGUCGAAAAGAAAUUGUAGUGAAAACAUCAAUCCUCACCUUACACAGAUGGAUGGCUCUCUUGCACGGAUCAAGAACAGAAUGAAGAAGGACACAAUUUCUGGGUAUUAAAAUUGUCAAAUGAAAAGAUGAUGAUUUUUACCAAGACAGUGAAAAAGAUACAAUUAUGUUAUGAUGUCUUUGAAAAAAACAAAUCUUAAAUUACACAUUGAAUAGUAAUUACUAAGUUCUCGAUAUUUGCUUACUUUUUUUUCCUGUAAAGGACAAGUAUAGAAAUAAAAUAAUUUCUAUAAUAGGAUUAAUAAUAGAAAGAGAAAUUAUACAUCCAUUGUUUGGACAAUAUAGUUAAUUCUGUCAAAGUUGUCUACAUUUACUGAAAGUUUGUCAACUUUAUUUUUAAUAAUUAUAUUUAUAUAAUUUGAAACAAUUAUAUAAUCCAAAAUAAUUUUAUAUAUAUAUAGAUGGAGGUAUAUUUGACCCUAUUCCUUAUUGUAACUGUGACAAAAUUAUAGUCUGUGUUUUGCUGAAUCUUAGAUACGUGAAGGUUAAUGAGGUAGAUCUUAAAUUUUUCUUAAUAUAAAGACUCAUGUUAUAUUUAAAUAUCAUUGGGAAUAAUUUUAUCAUCUAAUUUGUAAAUAAUUCAUAAACUUUAUAAUAUUCAGUGUUAACAUUCUUGGAAUAAUAUUUUGUAGAUUAACAUUUAAAAUGUGAAAAUUUGUUAGGGAGAAAAUAUGAAAGAGAAUAAUUUGGGAAAAACUUCAUUUUUGUAGAAAGUUAUUUUCUAAUAUUGCAUACAGAAUAAUAUAAUGUAUAACAUUUUUCAAAAAAGUUACAAAUAAUCUGUGUUAUGGAUCUAAGAGGAUCCUCAAAAGUUUCCCACUUCCUGGAACUUGCACCUUUGUAUAUUUCCUCCAAUUGAGUAUAGGCUGAACCCAAUAAUUUGCUUCU
This 1344-nucleotide long non-coding RNA is filed under the name Callithrix jacchus (white-tufted-ear marmoset). RNAcentral describes it as "lncRNA (ENSCJAG00000084770.1)". The record is from RNAcentral. Lineage: Eukaryota; Metazoa; Chordata; Mammalia; Primates; Cebidae.